Molecule: long non-coding RNA, 255 nt
Organism: Macrosteles quadrilineatus (aster leafhopper)
Lineage: Eukaryota; Metazoa; Arthropoda; Insecta; Hemiptera; Cicadellidae
Exons: 3
Source: RefSeq, a predicted model, not a curated record
CAUGGCUCUGAGAAGACAAGUAACCUCCUUGAAUCACCCUGAUACGUUGGACAGGACAUCAAUCAGCCUACUUGUGAUGAUAUGUGAAUGUCCGGUGUGUGGGAACGUGGCCAAGCCUCCCAUGAAGAUGUGUUUCAACGGACACGUCAGUUGUGUGGCUUGUGUACUAGAUACCCCAUCUUGCUCUACUUGUCAGGAGCGUUUCUCCUGUAUCCGACCAAUGGUGAUGGAGCAGAUUAUGAGAGUGGUGGGGGG